CGUUACAUGCAAAUACAGCUAUAGUUAUCUUUUAGAACCAAAAGAAUAUUCAAGGCUUAGAAUGAUGGAAUGCAGUUUUUACACCUUACCUUAACUACACACACAGUAUUGUGCCCGUAGAAGAUGUUCUACCCUUCAGCGAGUGUUUGAUAAACCUCCUUGGUUCUUUCAUGAGACAUCUUUCAUUUCUCACAGCACAAAACCCGUAUGUGAACAUGGCGACUGUUCUGACACUUUGUGUGUGAACAUCAUGCAGUUCAAAAGAACUUUGUUUGGCAUGGAGCUAGGGUUCUUUCUUACAGAGCCAUAGCUUUUGUUUAGGUGUCAAAGGAGCAUCCCUCUCAUCUCUCAGAUUGAUGGCAUCGUCUAGGACUUCCCACAUAGACAAGAUAAACUAAAGGCUUCUGCAGACAGAUGUUCUCAGAGCACAGCCAGCAGGGAUAGCAAACAGGACGUAGGAGUUUUGCAGGAGUUUAGCGGGAAGUGUGCGGCGGAUCCUGGAACAAGCCCCUGCAAUCACAAGGAUCACAAGGAGCCUGGUGGAGAAGAGAACGUGCACUAUGAAAAGAGACUGCUGUAGAUAGAAGGAGAGUCCUGAUUGCUACGACAGGUGAAAAAGGAAAAGUGAAUGAAGGAUUGGUGGAAGACUAAGGAAAAGAUGAAGCAGCUGCAUCCUCACCUGCUGCACUGGAGGAUCUGAAGGACAUGACAAGACAAUCAAAAGCACCCAGACCAUGUUCCACCAAAGAUAUUUGGCAAACUUCAGACCCAGCUUGAAUAAUAUGAACCAGCGCUUCCACAGAGGGACUGAGCACUCAGCCAUUGCAAGAAUUGCAGGAAUAAAGACAGAUGGAGAAAUGGCAUAGAAUUGAUAAUACUUUGGCCAACGGCUAGGAGACAGCCCUUCAGGAAAUGUUCUCUUUGGGGGAGGGAAUUCUAUCAUUGUCAAGAGCUGACAAGCACUCACUUGACAUUUUUGCACUUUCAUAUUUCCUGAGAAUUUGGGUUUUAAAAGAUGGGCUGGUUCAAGAUGUUCAGAAUGAAAGUAGAAGUGAUUACUAAUACAUUGCUUGGAAUGCCAUAUGAUUACUAGAGAAAAUGCAUGAAGAUGAAUCUAGGGACGUAUCUUUUGAAAUGCUAGUUGAAUGAAAGACCAUAAUAAUCUUAAUAAAGUAGUAACCUGAAUGUUAACUAGCUCCUUGUGCUAACUUCUCAAUACUCAAAGUA
Hemicordylus capensis (graceful crag lizard) is the source of this 1227-nucleotide long non-coding RNA. RefSeq lists it as uncharacterized. The record is from RefSeq and is a predicted model, not a curated record. Lineage: Eukaryota; Metazoa; Chordata; Lepidosauria; Squamata; Cordylidae. The transcript has 5 exons.